This 634-nucleotide ribosomal RNA is filed under the name Neophysopella kraunhiae. RNAcentral describes it as "partial large subunit ribosomal RNA". The record is from RNAcentral. Lineage: Eukaryota; Fungi; Basidiomycota; Pucciniomycetes; Pucciniales; Crossopsoraceae.
CCGCUGAACUUAAGCAUAUCAAUAAGCGGAGGAAAAGAAACUAACAAGGAUUCCCCUAGUAACGGCGAGUGAAGAGGGAAAAGCCCAAAUUUGUAAUCUGGCUCUAUUAAGGAGUCUGAGUUGUAAUUUWGAGAACUGUUUUCAGUGCUGGACCMUGUACAAGUCUGUUGAAAAACAGCAUCAUUGAGGGUGAUAAUCCCGUUCAUGAUAUGGACUACCAGUGCUUUAUGAUAUAGUCUCUAAGAGUCGAGUUGUUUGGGAAUGCAGCUCAAAGUGGGUGGUAAAUUCCAUCUAAGGCUAAAUAUAGGUGAGAGACCGAUAGCAAACAAGUACCGUGAGGGAAAGAUGAAAAGAACUUUGAAAAGAGAGUUAACAGUACGUGAAAUUGUUGAAAGGGAAACGAUUGAAGUUAGACUUGUUAUUAUUAGUUCASCUCUUUGUUUAGAGUGUAUUCUAAUGAUUAACAGACCAACAUCAGUCUUUGGGUGUUGGAUAAGGGUUGUUUGRGAAAUGUAGCAGUCUUGUGCUGUGUUAUMGUCCCCAACUUUGAUACAAUGCUUGGGAUUGAGGAUUGCAGUAAGCUCUUUGGAGUCAGACUAAUUUAAUUAGUCUUCUUGCUGAGGAUGUUGGUGUA